RNAcentral lists this ribosomal RNA (253 nucleotides) under uncultured bacterium. RNAcentral describes it as "partial 16S ribosomal RNA". It matches the Rfam family "Bacterial small subunit ribosomal RNA", at positions 524 to 776 of the family's 1533-position model. The record is from RNAcentral.
UACGGAGGGUGCAAGCGUUGUUCGGAAUUAUUGGGCGUAAAGCGCGUGUAGGCGGUCUGUUAAGUCUGAUGUGAAAGCCCCGGGCUCAACCCAGGAAGUGCAUUGGAUACUGGGAAACUUGAAUACGGGAGAGGGUAGUGGAAUUCCUAGUGUAGGAGUGAAAUCCGUAGAUAUCAGGAGGAACACCGGUGGCGAAAGCGCACAUCUGGCCCGAUACUGACGCUGAGACGCGAAAGCGUGGGGAGCAAACAGG